UACGUAGGUGGCGAGCGUUGUCCGGAUUUACUGGGCGUAAAGAGCGCGCAGGCGGUCGUCCAAGUCGCGUGUGAAAGCCCCCGGCUCAACUGGGGAGGGUCACGCGAUACUGCUCGACUCGAAGGCAGGAGAGGGAAGUGGAAUUCCCGGUGUAGUGGUGAAAUGCGUAGAUAUCGGGAGGAACACCAGUGGCGAAGGCGACUUCCUGGCCUGUUCUUGACGCUGAGGCGCGAAAGCUAGGGUAGCAAACGGG
This 253-nucleotide ribosomal RNA is filed under the name uncultured bacterium. RNAcentral's name for it is "partial 16S ribosomal RNA". It matches the Rfam family "Bacterial small subunit ribosomal RNA", at positions 524 to 776 of the family's 1533-position model. The record is from RNAcentral.